Molecule: ribosomal RNA, 1545 nt
Filed under: metagenome
Description: bacterial LSU rRNA
Rfam family: Bacterial large subunit ribosomal RNA
Source: RNAcentral
GGCCGAAAGGCGUAGUCGAUGGGAAACAGGUUAAUAUUCCUGUACUUGGUGUUACUGCGAAGGGGGGACGGAGAAGGCUAUGUUGGCCGGGCGACGGUUGUCCCGGUUUAAGCGUGUAGGCUGGUUUUCCAGGCAAAUCCGGAAAAUCAAGGCUGAGGCGUGAUGACGAGGCACUACGGUGCUGAAGCAACAAAUGCCCUGCUUCCAGGAAAAGCCUCUAAGCAUCAGGUAACAUCAAAUCGUACCCCAAACCGACACAGGUGGUCAGGUAGAGAAUACCAAGGCGCUUGAGAGAACUCGGGUGAAGGAACUAGGCAAAAUGGUGCCGUAACUUCGGGAGAAGGCACGCUGAUAUGUAGGUGAAGCGACUUGCUCGUGGAGCUGAAAUCAGUCGAAGAUACCAGCUGGCUGCAACUGUUUAUUAAAAACACAGCACUGUGCAAACGCGAAAGUGGACGUAUACGGUGUGACGCCUCCCCGGUGCCGGAAGGUUAAUUGAUGGGGUCAGCGCAAGCGAAGCUCUUGAUCGAAGCCCCGGUAAACGGCGGCCGUAACUAUAACGGUCCUAAGGUAGCGAAAUUCCUUGUCGGGUAAGUUCCGACCUGCACGAAUGGCGUAAUGAUGGCCAGGCUGUCUCCACCCGAGACUCAGUGAAAUUGAACUCGCUGUGAAGAUGCAGUGUACCCGCGGCAAGACGGAAAGACCCCGUGAACCUUUACUAUAGCUUGACACUGAACAUUGAGCCUUGAUGUGUAGGAUAGGUGGGAGGCUUUGAAGUGUGGACGCCAGUCUGCAUGGAGCCGACCUUGAAAUACCACCCUUUAAUGUUUGAUGUUCUAACGUGGACCCGUGAUCCGGGUUGCGGACAGUGUCUGGUGGGUAGUUUGACUGGGGCGGUCUCCUCCUAAAGAGUAACGGAGGAGCACGAAGGUUGGCUAAUCCUGGUCGGACAUCAGGAGGUUAGUGCAAUGGCAUAAGCCAGCUUGACUGCGAGCGUGACGGCGCGAGCAGGUGCGAAAGCAGGUCAUAGUGAUCCGGUGGUUCUGAAUGGAAGGGCCAUCGCUCAACGGAUAAAAGGUACUCCGGGGAUAACAGGCUGAUACCGCCCAAGAGUUCAUAUCGACGGCGGUGUUUGGCACCUCGAUGUCGGCUCAUCACAUCCUGGAGCUGAAGUAGGUCCCAAGGGUAUGGCUGUUCGCCAUUUAAAGUGGUACGCGAGCUGGGUUUAGAACGUCGUGAGACAGUUCGGUCCCUAUCUGCCGUGGGCGCUGGAGAACUGAGGGGGGCUGCUCCUAGUACGAGAGGACCGGAGUGGACGCAUCACUGGUGUUCGGGUUGUCAUGCCAAUGGCACUGCCCGGUAGCUAAAUGCGGAAGAGAUAAGUGCUGAAAGCAUCUAAGCACGAAACUUGCCCCGAGAUGAGUUCUCCCUGACUCCUUGAGAGUCCUGAAGGAACGUUGAAGACGACGACGUUGAUAGGCCGGGUGUGUAAGCGCAGCGAUGCGUUGAGCUAACCGGUACUAAUGAACCGUGAGGCUUAACCUU